GACGAACGCUGGCGGCGUGCCUAAUACAUGCAAGUCGAGCGAACGGACGAGAAGCUUGCUUCUCUGAUGUUAGCGGCGGACGGGUGAGUAACACGUGGAUAACCUACCUAUAAGACUGGGAUAACUUCGGGAAACCGGAGCUAAUACCGGAUAAUAUUUUGAACCGCAUGGUUCAAAAGUGAAAGACGGUCUUGCUGUCACUUAUAGAUGGAUCCGCGCUGCAUUAGCUAGUUGGUAAGGUAACGGCUUACCAAGGCAACGAUGCAUAGCCGACCUGAGAGGGUGAUCGGCCACACUGGAACUGAGACACGGUCCAGACUCCUACGGGAGGCAGCAGUAGGGAAUCUUCCGCAAUGGGCGAAAACCUGACGGAGCAACGCCGCGUGAGUGAUGAAGGUCUUCGGAUCGUAAAACUCUGUUAUUAGGGAAGAACAUAUGUGUAAGUACCUGUGCACAUCUUGACGGUACCUAAUCAGAAAGCCACGGCUAACUACGUG
RNAcentral lists this ribosomal RNA (497 nucleotides) under uncultured bacterium. Its description in RNAcentral is "partial 16S ribosomal RNA". It matches the Rfam family "Bacterial small subunit ribosomal RNA", at positions 28 to 507 of the family's 1533-position model. The record is from RNAcentral.